UAGCCCUAUAUUUUGAUUUAGGACUUGACCUUGCAACAACAGUUUGUUUCUUACUUUUCCUAGAAACCAAAUUACCACAAACCAAGAUACAGUACCCGUUGGUGGAUCUCUGAUCGAAAUGCGAUCCAGCCUAAUAUGCAUCUGUAUAUCCAUGGUUAUAAGUGUGACCCUAAUCACGAUAUAAAAGACCUCUCUUAGGUACCCCUUUGGAAUAUCUCAAGAUGCGAAUUACUACGUCUCAAUGACUUGUCCUCAGAGAAUCUAGAAAUUAACUCACAACAUUUGUUGCAAAAGAUAUAUCCGACCAAGUAACUGUGAGAUAAUUCAAAUUUCUAACAAGCAUAUGGUAUUGUCUAGGAUUAGAUAGCAAAUCAACCAUAUCCGGUAUUAACUUUCUGUUAGGAUCCAUGGGUGUAUCAACCGGUUUGGAUCUCAACAAGCUAGUUUCAUCUAAGAGAUAAGAACAUACUUCCUUUGUGACUUAACAGUUCUGAUAUGAGAUCUCGAUACUUCUAUACCCAAGAAGUAUUUCAACGGUCCCAAAUCUUUGGUCUGAAACUUAGUUUGUAGAAAAAGUUUGAGACUUUGAAUACCUUUAUCAUCAUCAUCUAGAAUAAUAAUAUCAUCCACAUAAACAACAAGAAGGAUCCUACCCAAUGAAGUAUGACGAUAAAACACGAAAUGAUCCACAACACAUCGUCGAAGACCAAACUCAAAUACUUCAACAUUGAAACGGCCAAACCAUGCUUUGGGAGACUGUUUCAAACUAUAUAAAGCCUUAUUGAGCCAAUACGCUAAGCUUGACUCUCCUUGAGCAACAAACCUAGGUGGUUUCUCCUCAUAAACCUCCUCCUCAAGGUCACUAUGGAAGAAGACAUUUUUUACGUCUAAUUGAUGCAAAGGCCAGUGACAAGUAGUAGCCAAGGAGAUGAAUAGACGUACUGAUGUAAAUUUGGCAAUCAAAGAAAAGUAUCAAAAUAAUCCAUACCAUACAUCUGAGUGUAUCCCUUAGCAACAAGAUGUGCCUUUAGACGAGCCACAUAACCAUCCGGGUUGACUUUCACAGUGUAAACCCAGCGACAACCAACCACAGGCUUGUUAUUAGGAAGAGGUACCAAGUCCCAAGUACCAUUGUCAUGUAAAACAUUCAUCUCUUCAACCAUAGCGCCCCUUCGUCCUGAAUGGGCUAACACUUUCGAAACAGAUUUAGGAAGGAUAGUAGAUGAUAGAGCAGUGACAAAACAAUAAUAGGAGGGUGAUAAGGAGUCAUAAGAAACAUAGUUGGAAAUGGGGUGUUGAGUACAUGUGCGUUUACCUUUCUGAACAGCAAUAGGAGAUCAACAUCAUGUGAAGUAUGAUCAUCAGACGAGGAAACCAAAGGCGUGGUAGUAGGAGCUAGAGGGGACUCUCUUCCUUGAAGUUGCCGUUGUGAAUACACCUACAAAUUAGAAUGAUUAAGGUGAUGAGGACUUGAACUACAUGGAGACUCAUAUGGUUGGUUGGGCAAGGACAUCAAUGUAGAAUUUGGAAGAUUAAGCUAAGGAAGAGACUCAUUGAGCUCAGAAGUGCUCAAUGAUUGGGUAUAGUAAGGUGUAGACUCAAAGAAGUUAAUAUCAACAGACACAAAGAAGCGAAGUAACACAUGACUAUAACAAUGAUAUCCCUUUUGAGUAUGCUAGUAGCCUAGAAAGACACAUUUUAUAGCACGAGGAUCCAACUUAUCGACCCGAGGAGUUAGUUGAUGAACAAAAGACAUACACCUAAAUAUACAAGGAGGAAGAGAAAAUAAAGGUGGAUUAGGAAAGAGAUGGAGUAGGGAGUUCUACCACUAAGAACAGAGGAUGACAUUUUAUUGGUCAGAUAACAAGCCGUAAGUACUACAUCACUCCAAAACACUUUAGAUACAUGCAUUUAAUAAAGUGCGUGUGAUUUCAAGAAAAUAUCUAUAUUUUCACUUUGCAAUCCUGUUUUGUUGAGGAGUGUGGGCAUAGGAUGAUUGAUGAACAAUACCAAACUAAGUCAUAUAAGUAGUGAAUUAUGCACUGAAAAACUAUUUAGCAUCAUCACUUCGAAGUAUUCGAACUGGCAAACCAAAUUGAGUCUUUAUUUUAGAACAAAAGACACAAAAUACAUGAAAUAGAUCAGAACGAUCUUUUAUUAAAUAUAACCAAGUCAUUCUUGAAUAAUCAUCCACUAAGGUUACAAAAUACCGGAAACCCAACUUGGACAUGACCCGACGAGGACCCCAUACAAUCUGAAUGAACUAACAGAAAGGGCUUGCAACCCGUUUAUUAACCUAGGAAGCGAAAUAAACACGAUGGUGCUUUCCCAAUUGACAAGACUCACAAUUGAGACUUGAAACAAAACUCAAACUAGGAAGAAGACUUUUUAACUUUCCAAUGAAGGAUGACCCAAGCAACAUGAAUUUGGAAAGGUGUGGCAGCAGUAAUGCAGGCAAUAGAAGGAGAUAGUGGCUCAAAGUGAUAGAGCCCAACAGCUUCACACCCUUCGCCCAUUGUCUUCCUCAUCUUCAAAUCCUGAAUAACCACAAAACUAGGGAAGAAUGUCACUGAACAAUUCUUGAGUUUGGUAAUUUUGCUAACAGACAUAAGAUUGAAAGGAAAUUUGGGAAUAUGUAACACUAAAGGAAGAGAAAUAAAAGAAGUGGGAUUUUUCAGUCCCAAUUCCCUUGACUGCAAUAGUGGAUCCAUUAGCAAGAGCAAGGUAAAUUAGCAAGAUAUUGAAUACUAGAAAAAAGCUAGGUAUACUUGUGAAAUGAUCAAUGGUAAUGGAGUCUGUGACCCAAGGACUAGGACGAGAAGUAUUGGAUGACAAACACACUGUGUGAUUACCUCUUUGGGCAAGAGAUGCAAUGGGAAGAGAAGCUUCUUGUGAUGUUUGAUAUUGUUGGAACUUGGAUUACUUUUCCUCUGACAUAGAGAUAGUACGUUGCCACCACUCGACCCCAAAGAUGAGGAGUCAGUGAUGGCUGCAUUGGUUGCCCCCAUAGGUGUGAAGUCAGUGGUGGUUGCAUUGCCAACACGUGAAGGUCUAUCGUGAAGAUCCCAACAUUGCUCAAUACGAUGAUUAUUUUGUCCACAAUGAGUGCACUUGCGAAGAGUUCCUCUGUCUCGUCCAUAUCUAACACUACGACUACUCAAACCACCGCAAUAACUUUUGCGGUUGUUUGGUAGAGAACUAGAAUCACUUUGUGUAGAAAAGGUUGUCCUCUUAGAGUUAGAUGCAAGAGCAGGAGAAUGCUGCUAAAGGAAGCAUGAAGGACUUGGGAAUAAACAUCAGCAAAUGAUGGUAGCUUGGCACUACUGAGUAUUUGGGACUGAACUAUCUCAAAAUCAGGUCUCAAGCCAACUAGAACAUGAAGAACUGUCAUUUGCUCCCUCUGCUUUGCAUCUCACGAAUGUCGACAGUUAUAGUUUGCACUACGUUAAGCUCCUCAUGAAUACGCUUCAUCUCUCCAAAAUAAUCUGCAAUGCUCCUAUCUCCUUAUUGUAACUGAAAGUACUCUUGGGAUAAAUCAUAGAUACGUGUAAUGUUACUGGAGUAUAGAAGUUUGACAUAAUCCCAAAUCUUCUUGCACGUAUCUAGAUGCAUAAACAUCCGUGCAAUUUGUGGUUCCAUCAAAUUCCAUAAAAGGGAAACAAUUAAGGCAUCUUCUUGAAUCCACACAUCUUUUCUCUUCUCAUUAGAAGAAUCAGAUUGGAACAAGUGGUCAGAUCUCCCUAAUCGUGCUAAAUGAAUCCGAACAGCUUUAGAUCAUUGAACAUAGUUCUUUCCAUCCAACUUUUUAGUUCUUAUUUGCGGCAGUGAUGUAGGAAACAAAUUUUUGGGAUUCAUAGAUUCCAUCCCAACACUCACAAAUCAACAAUCACACCAAAAACAAGAAGAAGAACAAUCAAAACUAAUCGGGAUAAUCACAAACCAUGUGAAGCACAGACACAACGACAGAUGAGGCUAACAACUCACCGAUGGAUAUAGCGCUGCCACAACACUGACAAAUCAGCAACCACACCAAAAACAAGAACAACAAUCAAUAAUUGGAACAAUUGCAAACCAUGUGAAGCACCGACGCAACCACGGACGAGGUGAACAACUCAUCAACAGAUAUAGCACUGCCACAGCCUCACAACUGAACAUAUGAACGCUGCCUUGACUCCAAAAAAGUCACAAAGAAGCCUUGACUAACCUUGAAUAGAAAUUAACGGAAUACCGUGAGUGCAUGGUUGAAAAAGAUUGAAUUUUUGAGCAAAAAAUUGGCCUAACAGCUUGAUAAUAUAGUCUAAAGAAGGAAUCGAAGCAUGAUAGAAGGGAAAAAAAAAAAAAAAAAGGGAAAAAGUGGCCAUAACUGCACUCAUGCGCCGGUGCGUGGAGGGCCCUCCGGCGAUGGGGUUUUGCGAGGUGGGUCGUCAGGGGGGGGGGGUCUGAUUAUGUGUAUAUGGUUGGUUUGCGAUUUAGUAUGGGUUGGAGGUGCAUUAGGGAAGAACAGCUGCAGGAAUGGUGUUUUCUGGCGACGGGUGAGGAAGGGUUUAGAUAGGAUCAUGCUUUGAUACCAUGUUAAUAUUUGAUUAAAAAUGAAGACCGAACUUGAAGAUAGGUAUCUCCCUCUAUUUAUAAUACAAAUUUAAAUAUAUUCUAAUGACAAUAAUAUCAUUACUAACUCUCACUAAUUAACAUACUAACACACUCAAUAACAAUAAUACUAAAAGACAUGUAACCUCUUAACACUUUCAAAGUUAAAAAUUCAUUAACUCUAGUUUUUAAAAGAAAUAAAAGUACUUCCAGAUCCUAACUAAAUAGCACAUAAUUCAAGCAUUUGAAAGUUUCUUAUUUUCAUUUUCAUCAUUCAUUCCAAGAUCCAAGCAAAGGCAUAGCUUCUUCCCCUUUUCCAGGCAAGUUCCAAUCAUCAACUAACUUUUAACAAUUAAGAGAAAGUAAGAUGCAUAUUUAAAACUUUCAUCUGGGUUGGGGAGAAAGAUCAUUUGGUUAGAUGGGAGAUGGUAUGCAUGUCAAAAAAGGAAGGUGGUUUGGGUCUUGGGAAAUUGGUGUCUAACAACAUUGUCUUAAUGAGUAAAUGGUUAUGGAGGUUUCCUUUGGACAACUCUCUUUGGCAUAAAGUAAUUAAAAAUAAAAUUGGCAUACAAGGAAAUGGUUGGGAUACUAAUGUUGGUUUUACAUCUUCUUUUGAGAGUCCUUGUAGAUAUAUCUCAGCUUUAUCUCCAUUUUAUUCCUAAGACCAAAUUUGGAGUGAGGAAUAGGAUGUGAAUUUGUUUUUGGGAAUAUCCUCUGCUGGAGGAUUUGGUUUUUACAUCAUUUCCUCAUUUUUAUCGUUUUUCUUUAUUAUAUAACUCGUUUGUUUCUUCUUUUUUCUUUCUAAUGGGGAGAACUUUUUGUGGGAUUUUCACUUUUGUAGACCUUUGAAUGAUAAGAGAGCUAGAGGAGCUUGCUUGAUUGCAUCUUUGUUCACUUUGUUAUAGGGUUGCUGUCCUUCUAAGUGGGAGGAUGUGAUGAAGUGGGUGUUGGAGUCUUUAGGAGAUUUUUCUUGCAAUUCUUUCUUUUGAGUUUCACCUGUGAGAGAACUUGUCCUUUUCUUUCUUUCUUAUUAUUAGGAAGGCCAAAAUUCCCUCUAAAAUUAAGGUUUCGUUUGGGUGGUGUUUCUUGAUAGAGUUGACACUAACAAUCUGUUGCAGAGUAGUAGGAGGCCUUCUAAGACAUUAUGAUGCAGAGGCAGCAUCAAGGAUCUGCAGCCAUGGGAGAGAUAAGAAGAAAUUGAAGAGAGGAAGGGGAAGAGAGGAGAGAGGAGAGAGGAGAUACAAGGGGGAAUCACACGUUCAACUCAAUUCAAAUUCAUCAACAAUUGCUUAUAACAUGGCUUUCACACACUAAUUAUGAAAAAGCCUCUUCACAUGAAAUCACACAUAAUCCCCUUAAACUGCAUUACAUUACAAACAUACACCUAGAAUACACAAAUGCUACAAACAAGCCCCCAAGUAUACAUAAUACUAUACUAAUUAAAUGAAACACAUAAUAAACUACUAAUUAUAUGCAACAAUCCUUGUCCCAGUUCUUUUGAAUUAUUGUCCAACAAGGAUCUACCCAUGGUCUUGUUUCUUGUCCUGCAUCACAUUAUCUCCGGAUGUGUGUUUUCUUUGCUUUGACUUGUUCUGUAUAUGUAUCUCAUUUGUUUGUGCAUUGUUCCUUUUCUUGGAGGAUUUGGAACACGUUAUUUGGUUUAAGUGGGGAAAGUUGGUUUUGUCCAGAGUCUCUGGAGGAUAUGUUGGCUGUUUCUUUUUUGGUUUUAAAGACGAGUAAAGACAAGGUUGCUCUUUGUAAUUGUGGUUUUUUUGCUAUGUUGUGGGAUAUUUGGAUGGAAAGGAACAAUUGCAUUUUUAAGGGGAAGAAGAUUUCUUGAGUUUUUGGUUUGGUACAAGAUUCAGUAUUUGUCUUCUUUUUGGGCUGUUGCUUCUGGUUGUUUCAUGGGAUCAUGUUUCGAAAGUGUUCAGCAUAACUGGUUUGCUAUUUUGUAUUAAUUGUUUUAUGUUUUCUAUUUUAGUUUUUUUUUUCCUUAUGUUUUUAUGGAGGAUUCCUUAUUCUCCCGUUCUGUACAUUCUUUCUCUAUUAAUAUAACUUUUCUUUUCCGAUCAGAAAAGAAAAAUAUUCAUCAUUUGGCAUUACAAUAUUUUCUGAACUAGUAUUCCAUGUAUUGUUUGAGCAAAUCUCCAAAUCUUGUAGCAUGAAAUGGUAAGCAAUCACCACAAGGGUGUCAAUAUUUCAGUUUUGUUUUAGUUUUUAUUUUAUUUUCCCUCCACCCUUGCGGAAGUUUUAUUGACUGAAGUGCUCAUUUUUGGUUAUUAGUUAGUGAGGAUAUAUUUGUUUUCUUGUUGAGUCUUGACCACAAUUUUGCAGUGACCUCUUUCGAUAUGAUUUAUAGAAAUUUGUUAAUAAAUUGCAACCACUAAGGCAACCUUGAGAGCUUGAAUUCUGAGUUUUCAUGCAGGUGUUGCAAUCUUUAGCUUUGUGAUUUUGUGAUAGCCUGAGGAUCCAACAAUUCUACUCAAUAAAUUGAUGGCAUUGCUUUGAGAUUGAUGGUGUUACCUAAAUCGGAAAAUUUAUUAUCAAGACGGCACUACAUUUGCGUACAAUUCAAAUAAAUUUGUCUCAAUUUUCUUUCUCUUAUUCUAUUUGACCAAUUUUUCUUGCUGAAUUAUCAUUCCCAUUUAUAUUUACUGGGGUAAGGCUGAUGGAUAUAGUAUUUUAUUUUUUGUUCUCUUCUGUUCAUAAGUUCCUAUUAUUGUAAUAAAUUUAUCAUCUGAAAUUCAGCUUGCCAGCUUGCUGUGAAGAAGUUUGCAUGUUAAAUUUUUUAUUUAUUCUUCAUUAUUAAAUGCAUAUAUGCAAUUUAGAUUAGAUUAUCAUCUAAGCUUCUGCUUUGUUAAUUUUAGUUCCUUCAUGGCUUAAUACUGCACUUUGAUGUGCAUCGUUUAUCUUUUAAUUGUUGAUGCUAUUUUAAAAUAAUUAACUAGUUCAGUUUUGUGGAGAGUAUUUUGAGAUUGAAGAUCCCUUGAUCUGUUUUUACUUCAUUGUUCUUCUGCAAGAGAUUGUACUCCAAUGUGCUGUACUGAAUAUUGUCCCUCUAGUGCUGAAGCACCUUCUAGCUGUGAAGCUAUAGCUGUUUUUCAGCAAAGAGAAAUAAGUUGUGAUUAGUGAGGAAUAAAAUAUUGUUUCAUCGCUUGUAAUAUGCUUUGCUAAAUUCUCAAGGCAUGAAUUUCUCUGUUGCUGACUACUGAGAUAGCAGCAAAACCUUGAGACUUGUAGUGAAGAAAAUCAAUGUAGGUACAAGUGUAGCUGCAGGGGAUGAACAGACGCUGAGGGUUUUUAAGAGGUGCUUGGACCAAGAGCUCUUUGCUUGUGGCGCUCAAGGAAGCAGAUAUUUAAGGGCUUGAUUAAAUCCCCAUGCAUUUAAGCAAGCAUAUUCAGUUUCUUGAAGAAACUUGUUUGUCAAAAGCUGCCAAUCCAUUCCAUUUCUAUCCUAGAAGCAAUAAUGAGCAGAGGCUAGGGGCAUGAAUUAUUUGCACCGCAGAAAUCCACCCAUGGUACACAGAGAUGUGAAAUCUGAUGAUGCCGUCAUGUUGUUUCUAUAAGAAUAAAAAUUUGGCAGCCAUGUGGGCAUAUGCGCUUUGAUUUUUUCCUUCCCAGGUCAGGGAUUUUGGCUUGUCAAGUUGAAGAAGGCAGCCUUUUGACCACAAAAUCUGGGAGAGGAACAGUAAGAACCAUCAUGCUUUUAAUUCAAUAUCUAUUAUAAUUUUUUUUCCUAAAAUUUUGAAUAAUCUUACUUUGAUGAAAGUAAUUCUUGAUAUGGAUUAACUGUGUCAUUGGUUUUAAUGUUUUAUUAUUGUGCAUAUAAUUAAUAAACUUUGUCAA
Malania oleifera is the source of this 8433-nucleotide long non-coding RNA. RefSeq lists it as uncharacterized. The transcript has 2 exons. The record is from RefSeq and is a predicted model, not a curated record. Lineage: Eukaryota; Viridiplantae; Streptophyta; Magnoliopsida; Santalales; Ximeniaceae.